GCGCUUGUAGCUCAGCUGGAUAGAGCGCUUGGCUACGAACCAAGAGGUCGGGAGUUCAAAUCUUCCCAAGCGCGCCA
This 77-nucleotide transfer RNA is filed under the name Gammaproteobacteria bacterium. RNAcentral describes it as "tRNA-Arg". It matches the Rfam family "tRNA". From Rfam's summary of the family: Transfer RNA (tRNA) molecules are approximately 80 nucleotides in length. Their secondary structure includes four short double-helical elements and three loops (D, anti-codon, and T loops). Lineage: Bacteria; Pseudomonadati; Pseudomonadota; Gammaproteobacteria. RNAcentral also lists the same sequence under 1 other name. The record is from RNAcentral.